RNAcentral lists this transfer RNA (69 nucleotides) under Ictidomys tridecemlineatus (thirteen-lined ground squirrel). Its description in RNAcentral is "Spermophilus tridecemlineatus (thirteen-lined ground squirrel) tRNA". It matches the Rfam family "tRNA". Rfam says of the family: Transfer RNA (tRNA) molecules are approximately 80 nucleotides in length. The record is from Rfam by way of RNAcentral. Lineage: Eukaryota; Metazoa; Chordata; Mammalia; Rodentia; Sciuridae.
GGGGCUGUAGCUCAGUGGUAGAGUUCUUGCCUACCAUGUAUGGGAUAUUAGGUUCAAGCCUCAGCACCA